Molecule: ribosomal RNA, 462 nt
Filed under: Salmonella enterica
Lineage: Bacteria; Pseudomonadati; Pseudomonadota; Gammaproteobacteria; Enterobacterales; Enterobacteriaceae
Also listed under: 1 other name
Description: partial 16S ribosomal RNA
Rfam family: Bacterial small subunit ribosomal RNA
Source: RNAcentral
ACCUUCGGGCCUCUUGCCAUCAGAUGUGCCCAGAUGGGAUUAGCUUGUUGGUGAGGUAACGGCUCACCAAGGCGACGAUCCCUAGCUGGUCUGAGAGGAUGACCAGCCACACUGGAACUGAGACACGGUCCAGACUCCUACGGGAGGCAGCAGUGGGGAAUAUUGCACAAUGGGCGCAAGCCUGAUGCAGCCAUGCCGCGUGUAUGAAGAAGGCCUUCGGGUUGUAAAGUACUUUCAGCGGGGAGGAAGGUGUUGUGGUUAAUAACCGCAGCAAUUGACGUUACCCGCAGAAGAAGCACCGGCUAACUCCGUGCCAGCAGCCGCGGUAAUACGGAGGGUGCAAGCGUUAAUCGGAAUUACUGGGCGUAAAGCGCACGCAGGCGGUCUGUCAAGUCGGAUGUGAAAUCCCCGGGCUCAACCUGGGAACUGCAUUCGAAACUGGCAGGCUUGAGUCUUGUAGAG